UUAGAGUUUGAUCCUGGCUCAGGAUGAACUCUUGCGGCAGGCUUAACACAUGCAAGUCGAGGGGCAGCGCGGGUGGCAACACCUGGCGGCGACCGGCGCACGGGUGCGUAACGCGUAUGGAACCUGCCCACCGCAGGGGGAUAGCCCGUCGAAAGGCGGAUCAAUACCCCAUGGUCCCUAUGGCCCGCAUGGGCUAUUGGAUAAAGAUUUAUCGGCGGUGGAUGGCCAUGCGUGCCAUUAGCUGGUUGGUGGGGUAACGGCCCACCAAGGCGAUGAUGGCUAGGGGGUCUGAGAGGAUGGUCCCCCACACUGGUACUGAGACACGGACCAGACUCCUACGGGAGGCAGCAGUGAGGAAUAUUGGUCAAUGGGCGGAAGCCUGAACCAGCCAUGCCGCGUGCAGGAUGACGGCCCUACGGGUUGUAAACUGCUUUUGCGCGGGAAGAAUAACCCCCUCGUGAGGGGGGAUGCCGGUACCGCGCGAAUAAGGAUCGGCUAACUCCGUGCCAGCAGCCGCGGUAAUACGGAGGAUCCGAGCGUUAUCCGGAUUUACUGGGUUUAAAGGGUGCGUAGGCGGGCUCUUAAGUCUGCGGUGAAAGUCGGCGGCUCAACCGUCGGAUUGCCGUGGAUACUGGGGGCCUUGGGUACGGUCGGGGCCGGCGGAAUGCGUGGUGUAGCGGUGAAAUGCUUAGAUAUCACGCGGAACGCCGAUCGCGAAGGCAGCUGGCCAGGCCGUUACCGACGCUGAGGCACGAAAGCGUGGGGAUCAAACAGGAUUAGAUCCCCUGGUAGUCCACGCUGUAAACGCUGUACAGGGGGUGCCGGCGACACAACCGUCGGGUGCCUGAGCGAAAAGCAUUAAGUGAUCCACCUGGGGGAGUACGAUCGCAAGGUUGAAACUCAAAGGGAAUGACGGGGGCCCCGCACAAGCGGAGGAACAUGUGGUUUAAUUCGAUGAUACGCGAGGAACCUUACCCGGGCUCGAACGGUGCAUGAAUAUACGAGAGAUUGUAUAGUCCUUCGGGACAUGUAUCGAGGUGCUGCAUGGUUGUCGUCAGCUCGUGCCGUGAGGUGUCGGCUUAAGUGCCAUAACGAGCGCAACCCUUGUCAUUAGUUGCCAUCAGGUCAAGCUGGGGACUUUAAUGAGACUGCCACCGUAAGGUGUGAGGAAGGGGGGGAUGACGUCAAAUCAGCACGGCCCUUAUGUCCGGGGCGACACACGUGUUACAAUGGGAGGUACAGAGGGCAGCUAUCCGGUGACGGAAUGCUAAUCUCCAAAACCUUUCUCAGUUCGGAUUGGAGUCUGCAACUCGACUCCAUGAAGGUGGAUUCGCUAGUAAUCGCGCAUCAGCCAUGGCGCGGUGAAUACGUUCCCGGGCCUUGUACUCACCGCCCGUCA
Molecule: ribosomal RNA, 1399 nt
Filed under: uncultured bacterium
Lineage: Bacteria
Description: 16S ribosomal RNA
Rfam family: Bacterial small subunit ribosomal RNA
Source: RNAcentral